RNAcentral lists this long non-coding RNA (5542 nucleotides) under Brassica napus (rape). RNAcentral describes it as "long non-coding RNA (BNAP_LNC006111)". Lineage: Eukaryota; Viridiplantae; Streptophyta; Magnoliopsida; Brassicales; Brassicaceae. The record is from RNAcentral.
GUCACGUGUGCUUUACCAUUUCAGCUGGUGGGCUGUGUAACUUAAGUAUGGGCCAAAUGGUUUUAUGUUGAGGUCCAGGAGAAGCUUAAGUCAUACGGAGAAGCCCAAUAUCUUAUACGCAGCGGUUUGACGAAACACGUUAAGUGUGAUCGCAACGGAUGAAGAAACAAGCCAUGUGCAGUCCGUUACAACAACGUGAGCUGGCACACAAGUUGCGCGGAGAGUCAAGGGAAUCUUAGCUGCUAUAAGAGGAGAAAGGAAACAAGGAAACUACACUGGGAGAAAUACUAGACGUCAUUAAGAUCUGAGAGGGUGAGUGUAAACACUUAAGGAAUCGGGUGUGAGAUCAUCGUGUUCUUUGUGUACUCUUAUCUCUGAUCUGGGUGAGUGACGUGAGGUAUUGGUGAGAGGUGUGAGCUUGGGUGAGUGAUCGAGCUUGUAUACGGUUUCCUUUCUCCCGAGACGUACCAAGGGUUCGUUAAUACCCUUGGGAACUCUAAACUCUGUGUCGUCUACUUUAUUUCUGCAUACACAAACACUCAUAAUCAACUCAAGCUAAAGAAUGGACUAGAAACUAAAACUUGAUCGAGUUAAACCACUACAAGUGGUAUCAGAGCCGUGGUUUUUCGGUUUCAGGGAGGUUUUAGAUCUGUGGUGAUCGGGUUCUAUUUUCAUAGGUUUGAUCAGGUUGAGGAAUCUCUCACUGAUCAGAUCUGUGUUAAGAUCACCAGUUUCAGAUCUAAACAUCUGUGGUUUUCUGAUCUGGUAUUCUAUCGUUGGGUUUCUGGUAUUCUGGUUAUCUUGGGAAUUUCUUCUCUGCGGGUAUUCUUGUGUGUGGGAUUCUAUUUACUUGGUGGCUACAGGUUCUGAUCAAGCUUGUGUUUGCCGACUAUGGAACCUACUAAAGGAAGGUUUGAGGUGGAGAAGUUUGAUGGAGAAGGUGACUUUGCGUUGUGGAAACAUAAGAUGAUGGCUCAGUUUGAGAUCCUCGGGUUGGACUCUGUGCUGCAACCAGAGGAGGAUGAUCUCAAAGGCAAAGGGGUCGAAGGUGAUGGUUCUGAUGCUAAACCUAAGAAGGAUCCUAAGUGGCUUGAGAAGGACAGGAGAGUGAGAAACUUACUGAGCAUGAGUCUCAGUGACAUGGUUCUACGGAAGGUUAUCAAGUCAAGGUCAGCACUUGAGAUGUGGACGGCUCUAGAGGCUACCUAUCAGAUCAAAUCCUUGCCUAACAGGUUCUACCUCAAGCAACGGUUCUACAGUUAUAAGAUGGAGGAUGAUAAGAACCUGGAUAAGAAUUUGGAUGUGUUCACCAAGUUGGUAUCUGAUUUGGCGAGUCUUGAUGUUGAGCUGAGUGAGGAAGACCAAGCUGUUAUCCUGUUAAACAGUUUGCCAAGAAGGUUUGAACCAUUAGUUCACACUUUGAAGUAUGGUCGAGAUCAAGAAACAAUCACUUUAAAGGAGAUUACAAGAGCUGCUUACUCUAUUGAACUAGAUAUGAAGGCUAAAGGCAGCUCUGGUUCUUCUGGUACGAGUGGAGAAGGUCUCUACUUUCAAUCUCGAGGACGAUCUGAAAAGAAGACAACAUCAAAGGUUAAAUCAAACAGUCGAAGUAAGUCAAGACCAAAGUUCAAGAAAACUUGUUGGGUAUGUGGAGUAGAAGGACACUUUAAACGGGAAUGUCCUAAGAGAAACAAUUCCAACGGUUCUGUGAAGGCUGAAGCGAGUGUUGGUAAAGCUGAAUAUCAUGAACCACUCAUGCUUACAGCUUCAUGUCAUCUAAACCGAGAAGGGUGGGUCUUGGACUCUGGGUGCUCAUAUCAUAUGACUUUUAGAAAAGACUUGAUGUUUGACGUUGAAGAGAUUAAUGGUGGAAAGAUUCUAAUGGGAAAUGAUACUUUCUGUGAGAUUACUGCUAUUGGGAAAGUAAAGUUUGUCAGUUAUAAUAAGUCAGAAGUGAUAUUGACGGGAGUUCGCUAUUCUGAGUCUGCUAGAAGAAACUUGAUUUCACUAGGACAACUUGAGACUUUGGGCUGUUGGUUCCAAUCUAAAGAUUAUAGGCUCAAGGUUUUCAAAGGAGAUUCUGAGGUAUUGGCAGCAGAUUAUAAAGAAACUCUUUACUUUCUCGAUGGAGUUCCUGUUGCAGGGGAGGUAAACUCAGUUGAUGGAAGCUUGGAUAUUACUUCACUAUGGCACAGUCGACUCGGGCAUAUGAGUGUAAAAGGGAUGCAGUGUUUGGUAAAGAAUGGUUUUCUUGAAGGUGUGGACAUUACAACUAAAGAGAGCUGUGAGCAUUGUAUUCUCGGGAAGUUUCACAAGUUAUCCUUCAAGAAAGGAAAACACAACUCAGAGGAACCUCUUGCUUACGUGCAUUCUGAUUUAUGGGGUUCUCCCAAUGUUACUCCGAGUCUUUCUAAGUGCCACUAUUACAUUUCCUUUGUGGAUGAUUACUCAAGAAAGAUCUGGUUAUAUUUUCUUAAGACGAAGGACGAGGCUUUUUCAAAGUUCGUGGAAUGGUUAGCUUUGGUGGAGAAUCAGAGUGGCAAAAGUCUCAAAGCUUUAAGGACAGACAAUGGCCUUGAGUAUUGUAACAAAACAUUUGAGGACUUCUGUAAAGGAAAAGGGAUUCUAAGGCACAAGACAUGUCCUUAUACUCCACAGCAAAAUGGAGUUGCUGAGAGACUUAACAGGACGAUCUUGGAAAAGGUUCGAAGCCUUUUGAGUGAAACUGGGUUAGGUGAAGAGUUCUGGGCUGAAGCUUCUUCUACUGUGGCGUACAUGAUCAACAGAACACCUUCUAUACCGCUAGAGUUGAAGGUGCCCGAGGAAGUUUGGUCUGGAAGAAAGCCUGAGUAUGAUCACAUGAGGCGUUUUGGAUGUCUAGUAUAUUAUCAUGUGGAUCAAGGGAAGCUAAAGCCUAGAGCUAAGAAAGGGGUGUUCAUGGGAUAUCCUCAAGGAGUGAAAGGAUAUCGUAUUUGGAGUUUGGAAGAGAAGAAAAUUGUGAUUAAUCGGAAUGUAUUGUUUCAUGAAGAUGUGGUGUUCAAGGAUAUAGGAAAGCAUAGUGAUGUGUUUACUGUGGUUGCCAAGAACAAGAAACGUGUGUCAUUUCUUCUACCAGAGGACGAAGUUACUGAUGAACACACCGGGUCUUCAUCUGAAGGUGGAGUUUCUCGAAAUACUGAAGGAGAAGUUGAUUCUGAUGAUGAGGCUGAGAAAGAAGACUCUCCUACAGAUUUGAAAAACUACAUGCUAGCUCGAGACAGAACUAAGAGAACUAUUAAACCUCCGAGCAGGUUUGAUGAUGCUGAUGUGGCAGCCUACGCUCUAGUUAUGUCUGAGUUAGUAGAAGAAGAUGAACCAUUGACUUUCGGAGAAGCUAUUCGAAGCAAAAAUGGAAAGAAAUGGAGGAAAGCCUCUGAUGAAGAAAUGGAUUCAUUGAUAAAGAAUCAUACAUGGGUUCUAAUUGAUAGGCCAGAAGGUGAAAGGACUAUAGAUUGUAGAUGGAUCUAUAAAGUCAAGCCUGGUAUUCCUGGAGUGGAGGACAAACGUUAUAAGGGAAGGGUAGUGGCAAAAGGUUACUCUCAGAUAGAGGGAAUAGAUUAUCAUGAGGUGUUUUCUCCUGUGGUUAAACAUGUCACUAUUCGGUUGCUUCUGUCUAUGGUGGUGCAUCAGAAUUUGGAACUGGAACAGUUGGAUGUAAAAACAGCUUUCUUACAUGGGAAUCUAGAAGAGAGAAUUUUGAUGGAACAGCCAGAGGGGUAUAAGAAAGGGAACAAAGUAUGUUUGUUGAAGAAAUCUAUCUACGGAUUGAAGCAAUCCCCGAGACAAUGGAAUCGAAGGUUUGAUGAGUUUAUGAGGUCUCAGGGAUAUGAGAGGAGCUUGUAUGAUUCGUGUGCCUAUUUUAAGGUUUAUGGAAAUGGUAACAUGAUCUAUCUACUACUGUAUGUUGAUGAUAUGUUAGUGGCUGCACGUGAUGUGAAAGAAGUUCAGAAGCUGAAGGACUUAUUGAGUAGUGAGUUUGAAAUGAAAGACUUAGGACCUGCUAAGCGUAUUCUAGGAAUGGAUAUCUGUCGUGAUCGAGAGGAGGGAGUUCUUACGUUAUCACAAGGAACUUAUUUGUGUAAAGUACUACGGAACUUUAUGAUGGAAGAAUCUAAGUCAGUAUCUACUCCUAUGGGCUCUCAUUUCAAACUAUCUAGUACCAAAGCCGAGCUACAUUCUGAACUACAAGAAGCUAUGGAGAGUGUACCUUAUUCAAGUGCUGUUGGGAGUCUUAUGUACUCAAUGAUUGGUACGCGUCCUGACAUUGCAUACGGAGUUGGUCUGGUGAGCCGUUUCAUGAGUGCACCUGGUCAAGAUCAUUGGAAUGCUGUUAAAUGGUUAAUGAGGUACAUUAGAGGUACUACAGAUAUGGCUUUAACAUUCAAGAAAUCUGAAGUAUUUGACGUUAAAGGUUACUGUGAUAGUGAUUAUGCUUCUGACCUGGAUCGAAGAAGAUCAAUCACGGGAUAUGUUUUCCAAGUUGGAGGUAAUACUGUGAGUUGGCGUUCUGGUCUUCAACAUAUUGUGGCUUUGUCUACAACCGAAGCGGAAUAUAUGGCGUUAGUUGAAGCAACGAAGGAAGCUCUGUGGCUAAAAGGAAUUACCUCUGAAUUUGGAUUUGAGCAGAAGAAAGCCGAGAUCUUCUGUGAUUCACAGAGUGCGCUGUGUCUUGCUCGAAACAGCGUAUUCCACGAAAGAACGAAACACAUCGAUGUUCGUCUUCACUUCAUCAGAGACGUUGUAGCGGAUGGUUCGAUUGUGGUAUCGAAGAUUGGUACAGUGGAGAAUCCAGCUGAUAUUCUCACUAAGAAUGUACCGGUGAAGAAAUUCGAAGAAGGUAGAAGUCUGAUGAGGGUUCUCGUCAGCGGAAACUAGAUCGAAUCUGAUCUAGGAUUUUCUUCCGACAAGAGUAGGGUUGGAAGAGGGAAGGUGGAGUUACCUUCGGGAGCUGUCUGAAUUGGAAAAGCAAGGUGGAGAUUUGUCACGUGUGCUUUACCAUUUCAGCUGGUGGGCUGUGUAACUUAAGUAUGGGCCAAAUGGUUUUAUGUUGAGGUCCAGGAGAAGCUUAAGUCAUACGGAGAAGCCCAAUAUCUUAUACGCAGCGGUUUGACGAAACACGUUAAGUGUGAUCGCAACGGAUGAAGAAACAAGCCAUGUGCAGUCCGUUACAACAACGUGAGCUGGCACACAAGUUGCGCGGAGAGUCAAGGGAAUCUUAGCUGCUAUAAGAGGAGAAAGGAAACAAGGAAACUACACUGGGAGAAAUACUAGACGUCAUUAAGAUCUGAGAGGGUGAGUGUAAACACUUAAGGAAUCGGGUGUGAGAUCAUCGUGUUCUUUGUGUACUCUUAUCUCUGAUCUGGGUGAGUGACGUGAGGUAUUGGUGAGAGGUGUGAGCUUGGGUGAGUGAUCGAGCUUGUAUACGGUUUCCUUUCUCCCGAGACGUACCAAGGGUUCGUUAAUACCCUUGGGAACUCUAAACUCUGUGUCGUCUACUUUAUUU